Molecule: ribosomal RNA, 553 nt
Filed under: uncultured bacterium
Lineage: Bacteria
Description: partial 16S ribosomal RNA
Rfam family: Bacterial small subunit ribosomal RNA
Source: RNAcentral
UGGGGAAUUUUGGACAAUGGGCGAAAGCCUGAUCCAGCAAUGCCGCGUGUGUGAAGAAGGCCUUCGGGUUGUAAAGCACUUUUGUCCGGAAAGAAAUCCUUGGCUCUAAUACAGUCGGGGGAUGACGGUACCGGAAGAAUAAGCACCGGCUAACUACGUGCCAGCAGCCGCGGUAAUACGUAGGGUGCAAGCGUUAAUCGGAAUUACUGGGCGUAAAGCGUGCGCAGGCGGUUUGCUAAGACCGAUGUGAAAUCCCCGGGCUCAACCUGGGAACUGCAUUGGUGACUGGCAGGCUAGAGUAUGGCAGAGGGGGGUAGAAUUCCACGUGUAGCAGUGAAAUGCGUAGAGAUGUGGAGGAAUACCGAUGGCGAAGGCAGCCCCCUGGGCCAAUACUGACGCUCAUGCACGAAAGCGUGGGGGAGCAAACAGGAUUAGAUACCCUGGUAGUCCACGCCCUAAACGAUGUCAACUAGUUGUUGGGGAUUCAUUUCCUUAGUAACGUAGCUAACGCGUGAAGUUGACCGCCUGGGGGAGUACGGUCGCAAGAUUAAAA